ACACCUCAACUCUCAUGGUUUGCCAUGAUGAGCUUGGACUUUGGAGGUCUUGCUGGCCUACGGUCGGCUCCUCUCAAAUGAAUCAGCUUGCCAGUGUUUGGUGGCGUCACGGGUGUGAUAACUAUCUACGCUUGUGGUUUUCACCAGGUAACCUUCAGCGAUGGAGGUUCGCUGGAGCUCACAAAUGUCUCUCCUCGGUGAGGACAGCUUUUGAAC
RNAcentral lists this unclassified non-coding RNA (216 nucleotides) under uncultured Tomentella. RNAcentral's name for it is "sequence contains ITS2". Lineage: Eukaryota; Fungi; Basidiomycota; Agaricomycetes; Thelephorales; Thelephoraceae. The record is from RNAcentral.